Molecule: long non-coding RNA, 944 nt
Organism: Larimichthys crocea (large yellow croaker)
Lineage: Eukaryota; Metazoa; Chordata; Actinopteri; Sciaenidae
Exons: 2
Source: RefSeq, a predicted model, not a curated record
GAAGCAGCGAUGAGUUGAGUCGGACGGCAUCAGAGCAGGAAAAGGAACUUUUCACUGUUUAUAAAUUUAACAUGACUUCAUGCUUUAUAAUCGUAAAACUGGGAUUUAUCCUCAGAUUCUAAUGCUGCCAUUCAAAUCUUUCAUCGUUGCAUCCCUAAGUCUAUAUUUCACACAUUUUCCACUCAUAUGGAAACUAAGGCCACAUAAAAAUGUAAACUCGAUGAACUGUAACCACGACGUCGAAGCCACUGAAAUAUUUAAACCAUGUCUGAGUUGAAGUUGUUUUCUCGGAUCCAAAAAUGCAGAUCCAGGCAUGUGGAGGUUCAUUUUUACUAAACUGAUUGUGUUUGUUCAGGUGCUGCCGGCCCGCGGCUCUUCACCAUCCACCAGAUCGAUGCCAGCACCAACAACCUGCCCAAAGCGCACACCUGUUUCAACCGGAUCGACAUUCCUCCGUACGAGCACUACGACAAACUGUACGACAAGUUGCUCACUGCCAUCGAGGAGACGUGCGGCUUCGCCGUCGAGUGAGUCGCCCCCCUGCGCUCUCGCAGAGACGAGGAAACAACCAGAAACAACAUGGUUUGGCCGUGAUGAACCUCCCCUCCUCCUACAAAUCAAUCCACUCAGACAGAGCGAGGGCAGAGGGGAGGGGGGGUCAUCCACGGAUGCUUCACCCAGGGGACGCCUAUACUUCCUGGGGUCGUGGCUAAGCUAAAGGAGGGUGGGCAGAGAAGGCCAGAACAUGUCAUGUUGCUUUUCUUUUUUUUUUUUUUUUAAAGAGCCUCCAGCCCUCCUUUAUCUUUUUUUUUUUUAUCAUUGAAAAGGAUCUUCAGCUGCUAAUAACUCAAGACUAUUUACUAACUUACGGAACCUGCAAAAAUUUUGCUGGCUCUUCCCUUUUUUUUUUUCUAAGUUCAUUUUAGCAUUAAAAGAAAAAUAAA